RNAcentral lists this ribosomal RNA (395 nucleotides) under uncultured bacterium. Its description in RNAcentral is "bacterial SSU rRNA". It matches the Rfam family "Bacterial small subunit ribosomal RNA", at positions 30 to 429 of the family's 1533-position model. The record is from RNAcentral.
AUUGAACGCUGGCGGCAUGCUUUACACAUGCAAGUCGAACGCGAAAGGGGGCAACUCCUGAGUAGAGUGGCGCACGGGUGAGUAAUACAUCGGAACGUGUCCUGUAAUGGGGGAUAACGCAGCGAAAGCUGUGCUAAUACCGCAUACGUCCUACGGGAGAAAGUGGGGGACCGCAGGGCCUCACGCUAUAGGAGCGGCCGAUGCCGGAUUAGCUAGUUGGUGGGGUAAAGGCUCACCAAGGCAACGAUCCGUAGCUGGUCUGAGAGGAUGAUCAGCCACACUGGAACUGAGACACGGUCCAGACUCCUACGGGAGGCAGCAGUGGGGAAUAUUGGACAAUGGGGGCAACCCUGAUCCAGCCAUGCCGCGUGUGUGAAGAAGGCCUCGGUUGUAAG